GUGUCAGCAGCCGCGGUAAAACGUAGGGGGCGAGCGUUAUCCGGAAUUACUGGGCGUAAAGGGCGUCUAGGCGGCUUGCUAAGUCUUGUGUGAAAUCUCCCGGCUCAACUGGGAGGGUGCAUGGGAAACUGGCAGGCUUGAGACUCGAAGGGGGGUGCGGAAUUCCCGGUGGAGCGGUGGAAUGCGUUGAUAUCGGGAGGAACACCCGAGGCGAAGGCGGCACCCUGGUCGAGGUCUGACGCUGAAGCGCGACAGCGUGGGGAGCGAACGGGAUUAGAUACCCGCGUAGUCC
This 292-nucleotide ribosomal RNA is filed under the name uncultured bacterium. RNAcentral describes it as "partial 16S ribosomal RNA". It matches the Rfam family "Bacterial small subunit ribosomal RNA", at positions 505 to 796 of the family's 1533-position model. The record is from RNAcentral.